Molecule: ribosomal RNA, 497 nt
Filed under: uncultured bacterium
Lineage: Bacteria
Description: partial 16S ribosomal RNA
Rfam family: Bacterial small subunit ribosomal RNA
Source: RNAcentral
GAUGAACGCUGGCGGCGUGCCUAAUACAUGCAAGUCGAGCGAACAGACGAGGAGCUUGCUCCUCUGACGUUAGCGGCGGACGGGUGAGUAACACGUGGAUAACCUACCUAUAAGACUGGGAUAACUUCGGGAAACCGGAGCUAAUACCGGAUAAUAUAUUGAACCGCAUGGUUCAAUAGUGAAAGACGGUUUUGCUGUCACUUAUAGAUGGAUCCGCGCCGCAUUAGCUAGUUGGUAAGGUAACGGCUUACCAAGGCAACGAUGCGUAGCCGACCUGAGAGGGUGAUCGGCCACACUGGAACUGAGACACGGUCCAGACUACUACGAGAGGCAGCAGUAGGGAAUCUUCCGCAAUGGGCGAAAGCCUGACGGAGCAACGCCGCGUGAGCGAUGAAAGUCUUCGGAUCGUAAAACUCUGUUAUUAGGGAAGAACAAAUGUGUAAGUAACUAUGCACGUCUUGACGGUACCUAAUCAGAAAGCCACGGCUAACUACGUG